RNAcentral lists this ribosomal RNA (465 nucleotides) under uncultured bacterium. RNAcentral's name for it is "partial 16S ribosomal RNA". It matches the Rfam family "Bacterial small subunit ribosomal RNA", at positions 28 to 507 of the family's 1533-position model. The record is from RNAcentral.
GGCGAACGCUGGCGGCGUGCUUAACACAUGCAAGUCGAACGGAAGGGCCCCUUUGGGGGUACUCGAGUGGCGAACGGGUGAGUAACACGUGAGUAACCUGCCCUUGACUUCGGGAUAACUUCAGGAAACUGGGGCUAAUACCGGAUAGGAAUCCUUGCUGCAUGGUGGGGGUUGGAAAGCUUCGGCGGUUUUGGAUGGACUCGCGGCUUAUCAGCUUGUUGGUGGGGUAGUGGCUUACCAAGGCUUUGACGGGUAGCCGGCCUGAGAGGGCGACCGGCCACAUUGGGACUGAGAUACGGCCCAGACUCCUACGGGAGGCAGCAGUGGGGAAUAUUGCACAAUGGGCGGAAGCCUGAUGCAGCAACGCCGCGUGCGGGAUGACGGCCUUCGGGUUGUAAACCGCUUUCAGCAGGGGCGAAGCUUGUGGUGACGGUACCUGCAGAAGAAGCACCGGCUAACUACGUG